UACGUAGGUGGCAAGCGUUGUCCGGAUUUAUUGGGUUUAAAGGGUGCGUAGGCGGUUCUGUAAGUCAGUGGUGAAAUACUCUAGCUUAACUAGAGGGGUGCCAAUGAUACUGCAGAACUUGAGUACAGAUGAGGUAGGCGGAAUUGACGGUGUAGCGGUGAAAUGCAUAGAUAUCGUCAAGAACACCGAUAGCGAAGGCAGCUUACUGGGCUGUAACUGACGCUGAUGCACGAAAGUGUGGGGAUCAAACAGG
RNAcentral lists this ribosomal RNA (253 nucleotides) under uncultured bacterium. RNAcentral describes it as "partial 16S ribosomal RNA". It matches the Rfam family "Bacterial small subunit ribosomal RNA", at positions 524 to 776 of the family's 1533-position model. The record is from RNAcentral.